AGCUAUUUUGAAAAUUCUUUCAACUGUCAUCGACUCCACAAGCUUAUUUCGCCAGAAUCCAAGCAUACAACAAACAAGUAGGAUCAAACACUCACUGAAAUUCUCACGAGGCUUCGUGGAUCGUGAGGACUAACACUGCUAUUCCGAUUCAGAGAUAAGAUUAAACGACAGGCAUUGCCUAUACAGGUGUGCUUAUUUUCCAAAUGUAUGAUUGACCUAAUGAGCUUAAAUGUUUCAUAAAAUACAAACUGUUUAUCCAAUAAAUAUUUUUCUGCACUCUACCAUGUUUAAGGCUCGCACAGUUAAUCAAUUGAGGUUCUCUUAUGACCUAACACGUUGUUUGAGAAUUGUGUACACUUGUUAGCUGAUUCGGUGGGUUGAUCUUCAUCGGGCACUAACCAGAGGCGUUAUAAGGGUGCUCGGCUGGAUGUGUUCCGGAGCAUGAGAAAUAUGAGACCUGCCUGGAUAGCGUCCCGAGGUCAAAGUAAACUUGUCUGGGUUACGCCCUCAGUUCAAGUAAGCGAGAGACAGAGAUCCGUUGGUGGCUAAAAGUUAACGGCUGGUGUUGACCGGGCAGAGCUGAGGCUAGAGUUCAAUCUCGUAUUUUGACUUCCGCUGUAGUAAUAGCCUUUAUUUGUCUUUCGUUUUCAUGACUUAAGACAUUUAUGCCAUGACUCUAAACGAUAUCUUUUGUUGAGCCUAGACUAUUAACUCUCAAGUAUUUCGAUUAAGGAAUGUUUGUUAUCUGAAGCAUGAAACUAAA
Salvia miltiorrhiza (redroot sage) is the source of this 763-nucleotide long non-coding RNA. RefSeq lists it as uncharacterized. NCBI's taxonomy places the organism in Eukaryota, Viridiplantae, Streptophyta, Magnoliopsida, Lamiales, Lamiaceae. The transcript has 4 exons. The record is from RefSeq and is a predicted model, not a curated record.